GACUCGCUCUCUCUCUCUCAAAACUAAACAUAAAAAAAAAAAGAAGUCAAAUCCUAACAUAUGAAACUUCUAUGUGAGCAACCUGACACCUAUUUCCACUUUCGUCACAGAUAAAGAAAAGAUCCACUGAACACAGCCUUUUGGAAUAUUAACGUGAAAUGCAUAGGAACUUGUAAUGGCUUAUGAAAAAAUAAUGUAGAAAGUGAUUUCUCUGCAGAGUUACAGAAGAUAGGAAUCAGAGCUUGCACAACCAGUAGGGAAAAUAUAUAAUUUAGUACAAAAGGCCUGGUGCUCCUUCAGAAUCGGCGGAGAGCCUCCACGUCUGAGGUUACUGAGAUUCUACGGGGAAAGUUCCAAAGCCCAGAUGGCUGGGAAGCACCAGGAGCUCUGAGGAAAAGGUGAAGGCAAGCCAAAUGCUGAGGCAGGAGCGACAACCCGGGAGAGGAAUGAAGAUGAGCCAGCUUCUGAGGAGAAAGGUCAUGGAGGUUUCCAGUGAUGAGGCAAAAGCUUUAGAUGAAUUAAUGUGCACAUUCGGCACGAGAUACUGAACACCUGUGUGUCACAGGAAAAAACUGAGGGAUGAGGCCCCCACCCCAGAAAAGAACGAGACAGAUGCCUGUUGUGUUGGCGCUCACGUUUAUCGAUUAGGAAAAUCUGAGCACAAGGGAAACAUGCCGAGCAUUCUGAGAAAAAUGUGAACAGUGCUCUUGUCUGUGUUGAAGACAGUGACUGCGGGGAGGCAAGAUGCCAGAAUCAGAAUUGCAAGCUGAA
This is a long non-coding RNA of Acinonyx jubatus (cheetah), 771 nucleotides long. RefSeq lists it as uncharacterized. The record is from RefSeq and is a predicted model, not a curated record. Lineage: Eukaryota; Metazoa; Chordata; Mammalia; Carnivora; Felidae. The transcript has 3 exons.